Molecule: ribosomal RNA, 415 nt
Filed under: uncultured prokaryote
Description: bacterial SSU rRNA
Rfam family: Bacterial small subunit ribosomal RNA
Source: RNAcentral
GUGCCAGCAGCCGCGGUAAAACGUAGGAGGCGAGCGUUAUUCGGAUUUACUGGGCGUAAAGCGCGUGCAGGCGGCUUCGUAAGUCAGGCGUGAAAUCUCCCGGCUUAACUGGGAGGCUGCGUCUGAUACUGCGGAGCUAGAGGUCGGGAGAGGGGAGUGGAAUUCCCGGUGUAGUGGUGAAAUGCGUAGAUAUCGGGAGGAACACCAGUGGCGAAGGCGGCUCCCUGGCCUGUACCUGACGCUAAGAUGCGAAAGCGUGGGGAGCGAACGGGAUUAGAAACCCCGGUAGUCCACGCCGUAAACGAUGCGGACUAGGUGUGGGAGGUAUUGACCCCUUCCGUGCCGUAGCUAACGCGUUAAGUCCGCCGCCUGGGGACUACGGCCGCAAGGCUAAAACUUAAAGGAAUUGGCGGGG